This is an RNA transcript of Camponotus floridanus (Florida carpenter ant), 1438 nucleotides long. It is a transcript of the gene named sex-determining region Y protein-like, with no coding region annotated. Lineage: Eukaryota; Metazoa; Arthropoda; Insecta; Hymenoptera; Formicidae. The transcript has 6 exons. The record is from RefSeq and is a predicted model, not a curated record.
GUGACAACCAAAACUAGCAGCAGCGUGCAAAAAGUUGGUGCGUCAACUAGAUCGGCAAAAUCGGUGUAAGUGAAUCGCAACUUUCUGUCAAAGAUCACAUACAAUUGCAAAAAGACAAAUCAGUGAAGAUACUUUCCAAAAGUGAUUGGACAGAAAAAAAUCGUUGCGUGGAACUUGAAGAAAAAUUAAAAAUCUGAUGAAGAUGACUGGCUGGAUUAGUUUUAUUUUAAUUACCACCGCAUCGAUGAUCAUAAUAGCAGAAUCUAAAAUGAUUCCAACUAAGCCGGCUUCCGUCAUGAUGGAUUCUAGCAGUCCUGUGCUAUUCUUGAGAGAAAAGAGAACAGUUGCUCAUCCAUAUCCGCACAGGGCGAUGAUGUUCACCGGAUAUUACAGACCGAUACGUCGUUCAGGUAACGGCGACCAUGCAACGGGCCUCUUCGCGCAAGGAAACGCCGUAAGUGGCCAGGCCUUUUUCGGCGGUAUGCACGCGCCGCAUCUCAAGGAUGGUCCGGAACCGAUCGAGGAAUCGGAAAUAUCCAGCGCCCAUGCACAGGCGGCGCCGAUAUCCGACGAGGAUCAUCAUCAUUAUCAUCAUCAGAACGAAGUGCAUCGUCACGAGGAAGAUCAAUAUCACGAGCAUCGCCAUCACGAAGAGGAGAAGCAUCACCAUCAUCACCAAGAUUCUUCUACCUCUCAGGAGCAUCACGAGCCAGAACAGAUCCCGCUAACCACAGAGAUUGCGCAAUCGGAAGAGGAAGAACCGAUCGCGGCCAACACAGAAGUAUCCAUUACUCGACCAAAAGUACAUCAUACGAAGAAGCCGCCUGUCAUUGACGACGACAAAGAUGAAGAUGAGGAAGAUGAGGAUGAUGAGCAGCCAGUUAUACCGUUUGUACCUGUCAAGGGUAUCCGACGUCGCCAAGGAUUUCCUCAUCUGAACAAUUUCUUCCCCAUGGUCUUUAGUUUCCCUAGAGUGGCCACUCGUGCUGGAUCCUCCGGUUCCGUUCCUGGUACCAUUACGGCUAUUGCGAAUAGUUAUUCUACCGGAAAGGGUGGAGUCGCUAGUUCAGUGGCCACUGCAUACGGCGGAUCUCCUGUUGGAAAGAAACGACGUCCGCAGCCAUACGAAGAAUAAUUAACUUCUGAUAAAAAAAAUGAUAGAUCUUAUUGAAUCUUUAAGGAGAAUAUUUAAGGAGAGGAUAACAUUUAAGGAGAAGAGAAGAAAGAAUUGAUAUCAUCGAGAUUCAAUAGAUACAUCUUCAAUAUAUGGAUGAUGAAGAAAUCUGUUUUUAUAAGAAUAAAAAAAUAUCAUGCUUCGUUAACAGCUAUUUACAUAUUGAAGUGGUAGAAGAGUCUAUCAAAUUGUCGGCUUUGCACAUCUUAUGCUAGGUUUAUAAUUCAUUUGUAUUGAGAUAAUAAUAUACUAAUGUUAACGUAU